UACGGAGGGUGCCAGUGUUGUUCGGAAUUACUGGGCGUAAAGGGCGCGCAGGCGGCGUGGCAAGUCGAGUGUGAAAGCCCUCAGCUUAACUGAGGAAUGGCGCUCGAAACUACCGCGCUGGAGGGCGGGAGAGGGCAGUGGAACUCUCGGUGUAGGGGUUAAAUCUGUAGAGAUCGAGAGGAACACCGGUGGCGAAGGCGGGUGCCUGGCCCGUACCUGACGCUGAGGCGCGUAAGCGUGGGGAGCAAACAGG
RNAcentral lists this ribosomal RNA (253 nucleotides) under uncultured bacterium. RNAcentral's name for it is "partial 16S ribosomal RNA". It matches the Rfam family "Bacterial small subunit ribosomal RNA", at positions 524 to 776 of the family's 1533-position model. The record is from RNAcentral.